Molecule: unclassified non-coding RNA, 22 nt
Filed under: Mus musculus (house mouse)
Lineage: Eukaryota; Metazoa; Chordata; Mammalia; Rodentia; Muridae
Description: oocyte_clustered_small_RNA12311
Source: RNAcentral
UUCCGACUGUUGGAAGAGCUGG